This is an RNA transcript of Zea mays, 586 nucleotides long. It is a transcript of the gene named Ras-related protein pseudogene, with no coding region annotated. NCBI's taxonomy places the organism in Eukaryota, Viridiplantae, Streptophyta, Magnoliopsida, Poales, Poaceae. The record is from RefSeq and is marked validated.
GCUGCCCUCCGCUCCAUCCCUGCAGCGCAGACCUCCGCCACCGUCACCGCCCUUCCUCACCGCGCAAUCACCGCCCUUCCCCACGCGCCUCGGUCGCCAUCCGCGGCAUCACCUUCCUUCCCCAUGCGUCGAGGCCGUCAUCCGCGCCAUCACCUUCCUUCCCCACACGCGCGCCCCCUCCUCCGACGUCGCCAAAUUCCAUCCAUCUCUCAGCGCCGUGGUCUCCCGAUGUGGAUGGGGGAAGGAGGAAUUAACCGAGAGCUUGCUGCCGCAAAGAAGAUUUCUCACAUCUGAGAUCGGGAGAAGAAAGCAUUUUCAAGGAGAAUAGCCGAUCUGUUGAUGUGCUUGGCCUUAAGACUGCUUUUGCAACCUUCAUGGGUUCCAGAGAAGAAAGCGAGGGAAUGGUGCGCCUCCAAGGGCGAUAUUCCAUACUUCGAGACCUCUGCGAAGGAGGACCACAACGUCGACACUGCUUUCCUAUGCAUCGCUAGGCUCGCUUUGGAGCAUGAGCAUGACCAAGACAUUUACUUCAAGACAGUUGUGGAACAAGUCCCGGACACUGAACAGACAAGCGGAUGUGCUUGCU